RNAcentral lists this small nuclear RNA (103 nucleotides) under Panthera pardus (leopard). The record is from RNAcentral. Lineage: Eukaryota; Metazoa; Chordata; Mammalia; Carnivora; Felidae.
UUGCUCUGGCAGCACAUAUACUAAAAUUGGAAGGAUACAGAGAAGAUUAGCACAGCCCCUGUGCAAGGAUGACACACAAAUUCAUGAAGCUUCCAUAUUUUUA